Long non-coding RNA from Leopardus geoffroyi (Geoffroy's cat), 407 nucleotides. RefSeq lists it as uncharacterized. The record is from RefSeq and is a predicted model, not a curated record. The transcript is spliced from 2 exons. NCBI's taxonomy places the organism in Eukaryota, Metazoa, Chordata, Mammalia, Carnivora, Felidae.
ACACUUGGAGAAGAAGAAAGGCAACCUGAAUGGCAGAUGCUUUGAGUUAUUUUAAAGACCCAUCUGGAAUGAAAGGUCCUGGCAAAGACAUCCUCUGUGGGUCGGCGUCAUGCUUGUGUCUUUGCCACUGUCUUCACUCAUCCACAUGGUAGAGAUCAAAGCUUCCAGAAGCUUCAAACAUGUACACCCCCAGGGAAUUUACUUAUACGCCACUGGCCCGUGUCUUCAGGAUGGUGUCUUCGCUACUUACCCACAAGUUGUACCAGUUCUGAACAAGCUUGCUGCCCAGUGUUCUUUUGAACUCAUAUCCGUCCCUCUACGCAAAACUGAUCGUUGCUCUGUUUGUUCAUAGCGUUUCCCGUUCGGUCUCAACCUCAGGCCCCCAUAAAGACUGUUUCUUCUCUGGA